UCAGAUGAACGCUGGCGGCAGGCCUAACACAUGCAGUCGAGCGGAUGAAGGGAGCUUGCUCCUGGAUUCAGCGGCGGACGGGUGAGUAAUGCCUAGGAAUCUGCCUGGUAGUGGGGGAUAACGUCCGGAAACGGGCGCUAAUACCGCAUACGUCGUGAGGGAGAAAGUGGGGGAUCUUCGGACCUCACGCUAUCAGAUGAGCCUAGGUCGGAUUAGCUAGUUGGUGGGGUAAAGGCCUACCAAGGCGACGAUCCGUAACUGGUCUGAGAGGAUGAUCAGUCACACUGGAACUGAGACACGGUCCAGACUCCUACGGGAGGCAGCAGUGGGGAAUAUUGGACAAUGGGCGAAAGCCUGAUCCAGCCAUGCCGCGUGUGUGAAGAAGGUCUUCGGAUUGUAAAGCACUUUAAGUUGGGAGGAAGGGCAGUAAGUUAAUACCUUGCUGUUUUGACGUUACCAACAGAAUAAGCACCGGCUAACUUCGUGCCAGCAGCCGCGGUAAUACGAAGGGUGCAAGCGUUAAUCGGAAUUACUGGGCGUAAAGCGCGCGUAGGUGGUUCAGCAAGUUGGAUGUGAAAUCCCCGGGCUCAACCUGGGAACUGCAUCCAAAACUACUGAGCUAGAGUACGGUAGAGGGUGGUGGAAUUUCCUGUGUAGCGGUGAAAUGCGUAGAUAUAGGAAGGAACACCAGUGGCGAAGGCGACCACCUGGACUGAUACUGACACUGAGGUGCGAAAGCGUGGGGAGCAAACAGGAUUAGAUACCCUGGUAGUCCACGCCGUAAACGAUGUCGACUAGCCGUUGGGAUCCUUGAGAUCUUAGUGGCGCAGCUAACGCGAUAAGUCGACCGCCUGGGGAGGACGGCCGCAAGGUUAAAACUCAAAUGAAU
Molecule: ribosomal RNA, 889 nt
Filed under: Pseudomonas aeruginosa
Lineage: Bacteria; Pseudomonadati; Pseudomonadota; Gammaproteobacteria; Pseudomonadales; Pseudomonadaceae
Description: bacterial SSU rRNA
Rfam family: Bacterial small subunit ribosomal RNA
Source: RNAcentral